Molecule: ribosomal RNA, 396 nt
Filed under: Cladosporium sp. FBCC2321
Lineage: Eukaryota; Fungi; Ascomycota; Dothideomycetes; Cladosporiales; Cladosporiaceae
Description: eukaryotic LSU rRNA
Rfam family: 5.8S ribosomal RNA (bases 99-252)
Source: RNAcentral
GCCUCCGGGGCGACCCUGCCUUCGGGCGGGGGCUCCGGGUGGACACUUCAAACUCUUGCGUAACUUUGCAGUCUGAGUAAACUUAAUUAAUAAAUUAAAACUUUUAACAACGGAUCUCUUGGUUCUGGCAUCGAUGAAGAACGCAGCGAAAUGCGAUAAGUAAUGUGAAUUGCAGAAUUCAGUGAAUCAUCGAAUCUUUGAACGCACAUUGCGCCCCCUGGUAUUCCGGGGGGCAUGCCUGUUCGAGCGUCAUUUCACCACUCAAGCCUCGCUUGGUAUUGGGCAACGCGGUCCGCCGCGUGCCUCAAAUCGACCGGCUGGGUCUUCUGUCCCCUAAGCGUUGUGGAAACUAUUCGCUAAAGGGUGUUCGGGAGGCUACGCCGUAAAACAACCCCA